UUGAAAUGCUUUUUUCCAACCUUUUUGGUAGAUUAUGAGUUAGGAACUUACACUUAGGAUUUGCUUGGUCGUUUUGAAAACUCAAGUAAUACAUAAACACGUUUUGAGCAUGUUUUAGGUUGGUUUGAACUAAGUUUGUUGCACUUACACACUUGGUUGCCAUUUUGGGUCUUCUAGUGCUUUUUUCACACUAUUUGAACUUUUUUCGUAGCUUAUGAGUUACGAAACUACACGUAAGCUUUUUUAGGUCGUUUUGAAAGUUCAAUGAUACUUAGACACGUUUUGAACUCGUUUUAGGUAUGUUUGAAACUAAGUUUUAAACACAUUUGAUUGACAUGUUGGGUCUUGAAGUGCUUUUUUCACACUUUUUGAAAUUUUGGUAGGUUGUGAGUUACAAAGUUACACUUAAGCAUUGCUUGGUCGUUUUGAAAAUUCAAGUGAUACUUACACACGUUUUGAAUACAUUUUAGGUGAGAUUGAGUUUGUUGCACUUACACACUUGGUCGUCAUUUUUGGUCUUGAAAUGCUUUUUUCAACCUUUUUGGUAGAUUAUGAGUUACGAACUUACACUUAGGAUUUGCUUGGUCGUUUUGAAAACUCAAGUAAUACCUAGACACGUUUUGAGCACGUUUUAGGUUGGUUUGAACUAAGUUUGUUGCGCUUACACAUUUGGUUGCCAUUUUGGGUCUUGUAGUGCUUUUUCCACACUAUUUGAACUUUUUUCGUAAGUUAUGAAAUACGAACCUACACGUAAGAUGUUUUAGGUCGUUUUGAAAGUUCCAGUGAAACUUAGACACGUUUUGAACUCGUUUUAGGUUGGUUUGAAACUAAGUUUUAAACACAUUUGAUUUAUAUGUUGGGUCUUGAAGUACUUUUUUCGGUAGGUUGUGAGUUACAAACUUACACUUAAGCAUUGCUUGGUUGUUUUGAAAACUCAAGUAAUACAUAAACACGUUUUGAGCACGUUUUAGGUUGGUUUCAACUAAGUUUGUUGCACUUCCACACUUGGUUGCCAUUUUGGGUCUUGUAGUGCUUUUUUCACAGUAUUUGAACUUUUUUCGUAGGUUAUGAGUUACAAACCUACACGUAAGCUUUUUUAGGUCGUUUUGAAAGUUCCUGUGAAACUUAGACACGUUUUGAACUCAUUUUAGGUAUGUUUGAAACUCAGUUUUAAACACAUUUGAUUGACAUGUUGGGUCUUGAAGUACUUUUUUCACACUUUUUGAAAUUUUGGUAGCUUGUGAGUUACAAACUUACACUUAAGCAAUGCUUGGUCGUUUUGAAAAUUCAAGUGAUACUUACACACGUUUUGAAUACAUUUUAGGUG
RNAcentral lists this long non-coding RNA (1327 nucleotides) under Cucumis sativus (cucumber). RNAcentral's name for it is "long non-coding RNA (CSAT_LNC000216)". Lineage: Eukaryota; Viridiplantae; Streptophyta; Magnoliopsida; Cucurbitales; Cucurbitaceae. The record is from RNAcentral.